GAGGGAGGCUUAUCCAUUGCACUCUGGAUUGUUAACCUCUGUGAUUUCCUCAAAUGUUGGAAACUCCA
RNAcentral lists this small nuclear RNA (68 nucleotides) under Erinaceus europaeus (western European hedgehog). Its description in RNAcentral is "U1 spliceosomal RNA (ENSEEUG00000023210.1)". The record is from RNAcentral. Lineage: Eukaryota; Metazoa; Chordata; Mammalia; Eulipotyphla; Erinaceidae.